RNAcentral lists this ribosomal RNA (723 nucleotides) under Pediococcus pentosaceus. RNAcentral's name for it is "bacterial SSU rRNA". It matches the Rfam family "Bacterial small subunit ribosomal RNA", at positions 60 to 727 of the family's 1533-position model. Lineage: Bacteria; Bacillati; Bacillota; Bacilli; Lactobacillales; Lactobacillaceae. The record is from RNAcentral.
AGUCAAAAGGUCGGUAACGGAACUUCCGUUAAUUGAUUAUGACGUACUUGUACUGAUUGAGAUUUUAACACGAAGUGAGUGGCGAACGGGUGAGUAACACGUGGGUAACCUGCCCAGAAGUAGGGGAUAACACCUGGAAACAGAUGCUAAUACCGUAUAACAGAGAAAACCGCAUGGUUUUCUUUUAAAAGAUGGCUCUGCUAUCACUUCUGGAUGGACCCGCGGCGUAUUAGCUAGUUGGUGAGGUAAAGGCUCACCAAGGCAGUGAUACGUAGCCGACCUGAGAGGGUAAUCGGCCACAUUGGGACUGAGACACGGCCCAGACUCCUACGGGAGGCAGCAGUAGGGAAUCUUCCACAAUGGACGCAAGUCUGAUGGAGCAACGCCGCGUGAGUGAAGAAGGGUUUCGGCUCGUAAAGCUCUGUUGUUAAAGAAGAACGUGGGUAAGAGUAACUGUUUACCCAGUGACGGUAUUUAACCAGAAAGCCACGGCUAACUACGUGCCAGCAGCCGCGGUAAUACGUAGGUGGCAAGCGUUAUCCGGAUUUAUUGGGCGUAAAGCGAGCGCAGGCGGUCUUUUAAGUCUAAUGUGAAAGCCUUCGGCUCAACCGAAGAAGUGCAUUGGAAACUGGGAGACUUGAGUGCAGAAGAGGACAGUGGAACUCCAUGUGUAGCGAUGAAAUGCGUAGAUAUGUGGAAGAACACCAGUGGCGAAGGCCGCUU